RNAcentral lists this ribosomal RNA (460 nucleotides) under uncultured bacterium. Its description in RNAcentral is "partial 16S ribosomal RNA". It matches the Rfam family "Bacterial small subunit ribosomal RNA", at positions 338 to 795 of the family's 1533-position model. The record is from RNAcentral.
CCUACGGGAGGCAGCAGUGAGGAAUAUUGGUCAAUGGGCGAAAGCCUGAACCAGCCAAGUCGCGUGCGGGAAGACGGCCCUAUGGAUUGUAAACCUCUUUUGCCCGGGGGCAAAAAGCGCUACGUGUACCGCACUGAGAGUACCGUGCGAAUAAGCAUCGGCUAACUCCGUGCCAGCAGCCGCGGUAAUACGGAGGAUGCGAGCGUUAUCCGGAUUUAUUGGGUUUAAAGGGUGCGUAGGCGGGGGGUUAAGUCAGAUGUGAAAUGUCCGGGCUUAACCCGUGACCUGCCUUUGAAACUGGCGUUCGAGAGUGGGGGAGAGGUAGGCGGAAUGCGUGGUGUAGCGGUGAAAUGCGUAGAUAUCAGGCAGAACACCGAUUGCGAAGGCAGCAUACCGGCGCCCAACUGACGCUGAGGCACGAAAGCGUGGGGAGCGAACAGGAUUAGAUACCCGUGUAGUC